GGCCCGGUAGCGGGAGGUCUGCACCUGCAUUCAAUUAGCUUUUAGAGAUCCACUUGUUCUGUGGGAGACGCUCGUUCGAUUCGAGCCCGGGCCA
This is a non-coding RNA of Mycena epipterygia, 94 nucleotides long. Lineage: Eukaryota; Fungi; Basidiomycota; Agaricomycetes; Agaricales; Mycenaceae. The record is from the annotation of a GenBank genome assembly.